Molecule: ribosomal RNA, 462 nt
Filed under: uncultured bacterium
Lineage: Bacteria
Description: bacterial SSU rRNA
Rfam family: Bacterial small subunit ribosomal RNA
Source: RNAcentral
GGGCCCGCACAAGCAGUGGAGUAUGUGGUUUAAUUCGAAGCAACGCGAAGAACCUUACCAGGUCUUGACAUCCAACUAACGAAGCAGAGAUGCAUUAGGUGCCCUUCGGGGAAAGUUGAGACAGGUGGUGCAUGGUUGUCGUCAGCUCGUGUCGUGAGAUGUUGGGUUAAGUCCCGCAACGAGCGCAACCCUUACCAUUAGUUGCUACGCAAGAGCACUCUAAUGGGACUGCCGUUGACAAAACGGAGGAAGGUGGGGAUGACGUCAAAUCAUCAUGCCCCUUAUGACCUGGGCUACACACGUACUACAAUGGCUAUUAACAGAGGGAAGCAAUACAGUGAUGUGGAGCAAAACCCUAAAAAUAGUCUCAGUUCAGAUUGUAGGCUGCAACUCGCCUACAUGAAGUCGGAAUUGCUAGUAAUCGCAGAUCAGCAUGCUGCGGUGAAUACGUUCCCGGGCCUU